UACAGAGGCCUCGAGCGUUAGGCGGAAUCACUGGGCUUAAAGCGUGUGUAGGCGGACUUCUAAGUGCCUUGUGAAAUCCCACGGCUCACCCGUGGAACGGCUGGGCAUACUGGUCGUCUUGAGCCACCUAGGGGCUGCCGGAACAAAUGGUGGAGCGGUGAAAUGCGUAGAUAUCGGGAGGAACACCUGUGGCGAAAGCGGCUCACUGGACCAUUACUGACGCUGAUGCUCGAAAGCUAGGGGAGCAAACAGG
Molecule: ribosomal RNA, 253 nt
Filed under: uncultured bacterium
Lineage: Bacteria
Description: partial 16S ribosomal RNA
Rfam family: Bacterial small subunit ribosomal RNA
Source: RNAcentral